RNAcentral lists this ribosomal RNA (501 nucleotides) under uncultured bacterium. RNAcentral's name for it is "partial 16S ribosomal RNA". The record is from RNAcentral.
GGAGUUAGCCGGUGCUUCUUCUGUGAGUGAUGUCCUUCCUGCCGGCUAUUAACCCGCAGGCCUUCUUCCUCACUGAAAGUGCUUUACAACCCGAAGGCCUUCUUCACACACGCGGCAUGGCUGGAUCAGGGUUGCCCCCAUUGUCCAAUAUUCCCCACUGCUGCCUCCCGUAGGAGUCUGGGCCGUGUCUCAGUCCCAGUGUGGCUGAUCAUCCUCUCAGACCAGCUACGGAUCGUCGCCUUGGUGAGCCGUUACCUCACCAACCAGCUAAUCCGACAUAGGCUCAUCCGAUAGCGCGAGGCCCGAAGGUCCCCCGCUUUCCCCCGUAGGGCGUAUGCGGUAUUAGCCUGGGUUUCCCCAGGUUAUCCCCCACUACCGGGCAGAUUCCUAUGCAUUACUCACCCGUCCGCCGCUCGCCACCAGGGAGCAAGCUCCCCGUGCUGCCGCUCGACUUGCAUGUGUAGCUGCGCCAGCGUCAUCUGAGCAUGAUACAACUACUGA